CGAGUGGGGCUGCUAUGGAAGGGGAGGGGAAGGAGGGAAGGAAGGGGGGGCGUGGUGGCGGCGCUGCCGCUGGGGGGUCGGCGUGCGGCUUCGCUGGGGGAGGCGGGGCUGGCGCAGGCAGAUCCCGAUCCCAAAGGCGGAGGAGAGGCGUGGGGAUCGGACGAGGUGCGCCGCGCGGGCAGGUGCGGCGUCGGGGCGCCUAAGGAGGGGGGGAAAAGUCGAGUUUUAGCGGCGAAAAGGCGAGCCAAGAACCCGUGCUUAGCCGGUAACUAAAGGGGACCAAUAGGCUCCAAAGGGGGACUAAAGAGCCCCGCGCUCGCCCCCGGAAGGCUCCGCUAACCACGAGACCUCGUCAGAGAACGGGCGGCGCCCAAGCCCGCAACGCCGACGACUUCCGGAGCGGCCAAAAAGGUACUCGCGCGCGGCCCCAGGGCCAGCAGACCCGCGCGCGCGCCCCACGAGCACAAUUACGUAGCCGACUGGACGCCGACGUUCAAGCGGCUGGGGCUGUGCCAGCAGGGGAGGCGCCGCCGCCGCAGCGUAGCGCACGCCGGCCUGUGGUACUCGACGCCGUCGCUGCCCACGUCCCUGCCGCCGCCGCCGCUCCCCAAGCCCGCCAGCGCCGGCUCGUUCCAGCGCCGGCUGCUGAGCCACCUCGGGCGCGCCACGAGCCUGCGGUGGAGCGGCGGCCCCAGGACCUAACUGUCCUUCGACGACCAGCUAGGGUUCUACGACAAGCAGCCUAGGUUCUAACCCCUCCCGCGGGUGCCGUUCCAGAUGUGCCCGUUCAUACCACUAGUCUAACAUCGGUAUUUUCAAGAGUUGUCACCGUCAUGGGGGCUUCUUUUUCAUUGUGAACUUCUAGCAAAGUAGGCUCUUCAGUUAUACUACACAUUUCACUUUGUACUAUUAGAACACUUCAAGUAACCUCGGACGUUCCUUGGUAACUACCACUAACAUUCACUCGACGAUGGUCCCUACAGCGACUUUUUAAUGAACUUGUCGUAGGCCGGGUCGGUUGAUCUAUAGGUAUGACGUAAUCCGAUACGUGAGUUGUAUCGAGCACGUUACCUUACAAAUGUACGGUUACCUUAUUAUGUGUCUCUGGACUUUGGACUAUUAAACAACGAAUGACGUUUGGCAUUCUUCGACUUCGAAUGACUAAAACCUGAGCGUGCUCUCCUUUGACACUGACUUUACUACUGCCGACUUUGACCCUGUAUGGCUACCUACCGGGGUCUCAAUAUGUCGUGACAGUGUGAAGUUGCACCACUUUUUUUCGUGAUGUGUUUAUUUCACCUACACAUGUCGAAACCGUAGCAGGACACCCUCAACGACUGGUUAUUUUACGGUAAGCUUCCGUACAGCUUAGAUGUUCGACGUAUACGACGACGAAAAUUUGUUCAUGCGGGUCGAAAAGGACUCCUGUGGGGGGUCCUCGAGCGCAGGUAGCACGUCAGUACGACCCAGCUCCUGGGACGAUACGCCGGGUCGAAGUCGGUCUAGUAGGCGUACGACCUACGGAAGGAGUGCUGCUAGGGAGGCGGCGGGGGAAGCCUCCGUCUGCUCCUGCGCUGCCUCAGCCUUCUGUGUUGCAGCAGCGACUCGUCGUUCUCGAGGAGCCAGAGGAGGUAGCAAAGGGCACGCUGUUCGUUCGAGAGCCAGCAGGCGGUAGACAAGCGGAGCUUCUUCCCCCCGUCGUUACCCUUCCGUACUAGGCGCAGGCGCCCGGUACGGGGACUCUGCAAAAAGGAACCACGACAUUUCCACAAUCGGAUCCCAAUCGAAAACGAACAAAACACAAAACUACUAUGCCUUCUUUUUUCCCACGUUACGUAUGAACACGUUCGAUACACUACAUAUCGACCGCCGACGAGACGGUAUUUGAAAACAUACGACGGUAACUCGAGUUAGGUUAGGGGAGAACAAAAGUGACGUUAAAAAUCGGGAAACGGUUAGGACACUAGGACUGUCUGAACUAC
This 1982-nucleotide ribosomal RNA is filed under the name Triticum aestivum (bread wheat). Its description in RNAcentral is "partial small subunit ribosomal RNA". Lineage: Eukaryota; Viridiplantae; Streptophyta; Magnoliopsida; Poales; Poaceae. The record is from RNAcentral.